GAUCAUGGCUCAGGACGAACGCUGGCGGCGUGCUUAACACAUGCAAGUCGAACGAGAAUCUACUGAAAGAGUUUUCGGACAAUGGAAGUAGAGGAAAGUGGCGGACGGGUGAGUAACGCGUGAGGAACCUGCCUUGAAGAGGGGGGACAACAGUUGGAAACGACUGCUAAUACCGCAUGACGCAUAGGGGUCGCAUGAUCUUUAUGCCAAAGAUUUAUCGCUUCAAGAUGGCCUCGCG
This 238-nucleotide ribosomal RNA is filed under the name uncultured bacterium. RNAcentral describes it as "partial 16S ribosomal RNA". It matches the Rfam family "Bacterial small subunit ribosomal RNA", at positions 15 to 235 of the family's 1533-position model. The record is from RNAcentral.